This 3343-nucleotide long non-coding RNA is filed under the name Taeniopygia guttata (zebra finch). RNAcentral's name for it is "lncRNA (ENSTGUG00000021844.1)". The record is from RNAcentral. Lineage: Eukaryota; Metazoa; Chordata; Aves; Passeriformes; Estrildidae.
AUAGUGUCCUUCCAGUACCGCAGCUUUUAGGCUACUUUUCAGUUUCCCUUUGCUUUCAGGUCUGGUGGAAAUCCCUGUGGUACACAAAGUGUAGGGUAGCUUCAAGAGGCUGUGAGCACAUGACGCUUGUCCUCACUCCUAAUUUUUGUUUUGCAGCUGGGGCUGCUAGCAGGCCCUUUACCUUUGCUGUUGCCAUCCCUCCUUCAGCGUGCAGCUGUGCUGCCACCGUGCAGGAGGCACAGGAGGCUGUGCUGCACCAGCCAGCAGCAGGGCAUUGGAUACUCACUUCCUGGAAGGGCGAGAAUAGCUGUGUUCUUUUCUGUUUCAAGAGACAGAUGUAGAUGUUAACACAUCUACAAAGAGGAUUUGAAAAUCUGCUGUAGCAUGUUUGAGGAAAAUGUCAUAUUCCAGUGGUUAGGCUGAAUAAAUGAGUUUCUCUUCAACUGUUCUUUGUUGACAUUUUUCUGUUCCAUUUCAGAGCGAAUAACAUGGGAGAUGCCAAUGCUAAAGAUAGGCUAGUGUUUAUCUUCCAAACAGUUGCAAUCAAGGCGAAAGGGUGAAAAGCCAGGGUGAUUUAGCUAUGUCCUGCAGAGGCCUUCCUGAAUGCAGCUGAAAAAAUAAACCUCCCUCCCAGUCUUCCUGUGCUGCUAAUUUUGAAGGUUUCUUGUGCAGUACUUUUUAGCGUCAUGACUAUCGUGUCUAUCUGUCCUGUAAGGAUUGCAGGAAGACUUAUUACAUUCACUUUAGUAAGGGUAAUGACUGUAUCAAAGAGGUUUGAGUCUGUCAUCUGCUCCCUAGGCUUGAGAUGUGGGUUGUACAUUUCCUUUCAGUAAUUCACAGCUUAAAAGCAUCCAACAGAUGCCACUUACAGUGAUGCAUGGCAGUGAGUAGGCAUGAGCAUUCCAUGUCUGCACAGGAAGGAGCUGGAAGUCAAAUGCUCAUGGUGCAGCAGAAUGUUUCUUAGGGCAGAGGUGAGACUGAGCACCCCAGGAGUGUCUUCAACACUAUUUUUUUCCAAAUUACAGGAAAUUGCACAGGAAAAUUUAUCUUUAAUGAGACUGGUUGUUAUUCUCAUAUCACUUUAUAUAUAAAUCAUUCUCUCCUUGUGUCAAGAGGUUCAUCCAGUCAGUAAAAACUUGAACUUGAAAGCAAGUCUUUUAUUCUCUUUCUGUUUUGAGUCCAGUCCCCUCCAUGCCUGUCAGCAUUUCUCCCAGGUGCUUGUUUUUAAAUGCUGUGUUAUUGCAAAGCUCAUCAUGCUGGUGUGGUGGGACUGUACCUCCAUGCCUUACUUUGACCUGAUCAGUGUAGAGGGGUUCUGUGAACAGUGCAGUAUCUUUGCUCUACCAGAAUCAGGAAAAAUAAAUCUUCUCUGUUCAUCUUAUGAGAAAGCUUCUUCUGCUGUUUUUGCAAUCAUUUUAGCUAGGUUUGUUCAGUAAUUAAUGGAGGAUUUCUGGGUGCAAUUUAGUGUCCACCUCAAGAGGCUGAGGACAAUCUCCUCUCCUAGCUGUGUAUGCACCGGUUCUGCUCUUGCAUAACUUCUCUUACCCCUGGAUUUCCAAUAAUUCCCUGGCAACACUUCAAAGUGGAGCUAUUAUCAGAAACAAAUAUGAGAAGGUGCUCGCAAUUCCUGCAGGGUUUUGUGCUGGGAUCCUGAAAAUGCAUUUGCUUUAGGAGCUGGCUAAUGAUGACCCUUACCAGUGCUGGGGAUCUGACCCUGCAGGAGCACAGUGGACAGACUGGGGCACUGCUGUUGGUAAGAAGCACCACACUGCUGUUAUCUAACCUCCAAAGUGCCAGCAGAGCCCUGGGACAAAACACAAAUCAAGGCAUCUAUUUAAUUGUCAGGUUGACAGCAAACAAAUUGCAGUGUAAGAGGGGCCAAUGAGUAAGCUCUAGCAAAUCUGGUUGCUGUGGUUUCUCAAAUGUCAGCAGUGCCAGCAGUUUGCUGGCUGCCUUCCAUGAGGUUUGGCCCCCUGGCAGCGUGCAUGGACCUCAGUCUUCAAGGCUCCUGGUGCCAGGCUUUUGAGCCACCACCAGAGAGACCAGCAUGAUUCUCCAGGCUGCACCAAGCCUGGUUUGAACCUCAGCUCCCAUGGCAUGGCUCAGCCUGGGCUGUCUUUUGUACUUUGGGGUUGCAUUUCUGUGGGGAGAAAAACCUUGGGGAGGUGCAGAUAACACAAAAUCUCUGAGCAGAACUCAGAUUGUUUGUGCAGUGACGGUGCUCUGGAUUUGCAGUUUGACUUUUCACAGCCAUCCUAAAUAGAGUGUGCAAGCUGCAAGCAGUGCUUCAGCAAGGCUGGCUCCUAACUUUAGGGUAUUUUUUAAGCUGUAAAGAUGCAAGAUUACAUGCUGAGAGAAAAUAAUCAGGUGUUCAAUAACAACACAGCAAGAAGAUCAUUCUCUUGAACUAGGGGGCCAGUGACAGGACAGGGAAGUCACCAGGUCAACCUUGAGGGCUUUACCAAGUAGUAUGUGGACUUCUCCUUGAGUAGCCUGAAGUCAGGUAACUGAGUUUGGAAGAAUUCAUUAAUUGUGGGAAUUAAUUAAGUCGCAAGCUGCAUCUUGCCACAUGUGUGUGUGUGUGUGUCCCUGUGCUUGGUCUGUGUAGUCUGGAGUAGCAGAGCAGGCCAGCCUUUGACUGUGCAACAAAGCACUUCCAGAUAUUUAAUUGGCAGUGCAAUUACUUAACUGGUCACAGGUGAGAAGGAAAUUCUUCCUGCAAAACCGAGAGCUGUGAAAUCAGUCAUGUAAUGGUUUCUUGUGCCAGAGUAUUAGCUUUAAGGCUAUUAAAUGUGUAAAGUUGAUAAUUAUGCACUUGUGACUCCUGUGUUAGCAAAUGUCAUGGUAUGUUACAAGCAGCUUAGGGACAGAUGCUGACUUCGGCUGCACUGGUGUCAGAUUGGCUUUGGCUCAGCUGUAGUCAGGACUCAAUCUGGAUUUGCUCCUUGUUGCAUUCAUACUAUUUGCUGAUGUUGCUGAGCAUGUUUCUGAGCUGGCUUGAAAUGUCCAAGACACUUCUCCCCUGCUCCAUCAUGCUCAGGAUACUCUGAGGUUUCACACAACCUUCCACAGCUUUAACCAUCCUUGUGUUUUGGAAGCAGUGUGAAUGAUGUAUGUGCACUUGGCUGGGACGUCUGUCCCCUUCACCCACACGGAGCAGGAGCCAACAGCCAACAGCAGCAAUGGUGAAAAGCUGGGGAAACUGGAGCAAGAGGGAAAGGGGCUGUCCUUCAUCUCCUCUGUCUGUCCAUACUAAUGAGACUGCAGAAGACUUAUUUUGAAACUAAGGUGAGGUUCACCUGCAUCUGAUUUCAAGUAAAACGAGAUCUACCUCAGUGAUUUA